UGGGGAAUUUUGGACAAUGGGCGAAAGCCUGAUCCAGCAAUGCCGCGUGCAGGAAGAAGGCCUUCGGGUUGUAAACUGCUUUUGUACGGAACGAAAAGGCUCUUUCUAAUAAAGAGGGCCCAUGACGGUACCGUAAGAAUAAGCACCGGCUAACUACGUGCCAGCAGCCGCGGUAAUACGUAGGGUGCGAGCGUUAAUCGGAAUUACUGGGCGUAAAGCGUGCGCAGGCGGUUCUAUAAGACAGAUGUGAAAUCCCCGGGCUCAACCUGGGAAUGGCAUUUGUGACUGUAGAGCUAGAGUACGGUAGAGGGGGAUGGAAUUCCGCGUGUAGCAGUGAAAUGCGUAGAUAUGCGGAGGAACACCGAUGGCGAAGGCAAUCCCCUGGACCUGUACUGACGCUCAUGCACGAAAGCGUGGGGAGCAAACAGGAUUAGAUACCCCUGUAGUCCCUGAGCGGGCUGGCAAGGCGCAU
RNAcentral lists this ribosomal RNA (472 nucleotides) under uncultured bacterium. RNAcentral's name for it is "bacterial SSU rRNA". It matches the Rfam family "Bacterial small subunit ribosomal RNA", at positions 355 to 825 of the family's 1533-position model. The record is from RNAcentral.